UGCUGCUGUAGCCAGUGACCAAGCA
RNAcentral lists this non-coding RNA (25 nucleotides) under Mus musculus (house mouse). The record is from RNAcentral. Lineage: Eukaryota; Metazoa; Chordata; Mammalia; Rodentia; Muridae.